Molecule: ribosomal RNA, 428 nt
Filed under: uncultured bacterium
Lineage: Bacteria
Description: bacterial SSU rRNA
Rfam family: Bacterial small subunit ribosomal RNA
Source: RNAcentral
UAGGGAAUCUUCCGCAAUGGACGAAAGUCUGACGGAGCAACGCCGCGUGAGUGAAGAAGGUCUUCGGAUCGUAAAACUCUGUUGUGAGGGAAGAACAAGUACGAGAGUAACUGCUCGUACCUUGACGGUACCUCAUUAGAAAGCCACGGCUAACUACGUGCCAGCGGCCGCGGUAAUACGUAGGUGGCAAGCGUUGUCCGGAAUUAUUGGGCGUAAAGCGCGCGCAGGCGGUCCUUUAAGUCUGAUGUGGAAUCCCACGGCUCAACCGUGGAAGGUCAUUGGAAACUGGGGGACUUGAGUACAGAAGAGGAAAGUGGAAUUCCAAGUGUAGCGGUGAAAUGCGUAGAGAUUUGGAGGAACACCAGUGGCGAAGGCGACUUUCUGGUCUGUAACUGACGCUGAGGCGCGAAAGCGUGGGGAGCAAACAG